RNAcentral lists this long non-coding RNA (615 nucleotides) under Homo sapiens (human). Its description in RNAcentral is "HSALNT0209939". The record is from RNAcentral. Lineage: Eukaryota; Metazoa; Chordata; Mammalia; Primates; Hominidae.
UAUGUUAACAUGAACCUUUAUGACACUGACCUUGCCAACUGUGUGGGACCUGGUUGAGGCCUCUUGCCACCAGCUAUCUCCAACUUUCCUGGCCAACUAUAUAAUACAGUAGAGGCAACGAAAAUCCCCUCUAGAACAUAACCUCAUUGUCCUGAGAACCACCACCAUCCACCACAAUGGCUGCAGCAAGCCCCGCCCAAGAUAUUUUCUAAAGAUGGAAAGACACAUUCUGCCAUAUAGCUACUAUUUGCUUCCACAUCUGUUAUCUGCUCGUCUCCCCUCAACUCCGUAUCUCAAGAGACUGACCUGCUUGGAUUGCGUCAAGGGCUCUGGCUUAGGACAGACCUCAGCUAACUAUGGGACUUGGCAGGAGAUCCAGCAGCAGGAGGAAAGUGAGCUUUGUCAAAGAUCAGAUGGUUACUGUGGCCUGUAACAAAGACUUGGAACCAACCCAAAUGUCCAUCAAUGAUAGACUGGGGGUUGAAGCCACAUACUCCUGCCAAACCAAAGGUCAAAAAGAAAAUCUACAGUGAGGCAGUAUAAAAGGAAGAACAAAGAAACGGGAAGGAGGAAACAAGGAAGAAACAAAACCAUAAAGUAUCUGAAGAGUACAAU